RNAcentral lists this ribosomal RNA (184 nucleotides) under uncultured Staphylococcus sp. Its description in RNAcentral is "partial 16S ribosomal RNA". It matches the Rfam family "Bacterial small subunit ribosomal RNA", at positions 156 to 334 of the family's 1533-position model. Lineage: Bacteria; Bacillati; Bacillota; Bacilli; Caryophanales; Staphylococcaceae. The record is from RNAcentral.
ACCGGAGCUAAUACCGGAUAAUAUUCUGAACCGCAUGGUUCAAAAGUGAAAGACGGUCUUGCUGUCACUUAUAGAUGGAUCCGCGCUGCAUUAGCUAGUUGGUAAGGUAACGGCUUACCAAGGCAACGAUGCAUAGCCGACCUGAGAGGGUGAUCGGCCACACUGGAACUGAGACACGGUCCAG